This 329-nucleotide ribosomal RNA is filed under the name uncultured eukaryote. Its description in RNAcentral is "partial 18S ribosomal RNA". It matches the Rfam family "Eukaryotic small subunit ribosomal RNA", at positions 1470 to 1796 of the family's 1831-position model. The record is from RNAcentral.
CCCUUAGAUGUCCUGGGCCGCACGCGCGCUACACUGAGUGUCUGAGAUACGAGUCUGCCUGGUCCGGCAAGGUCGAGGUAAUCGCUAAAAGACACAUCAUGCUUGGGAUAGAUUAUUGCAAAUAUUAAUCUUGAACGAGGAAUUCCUAGUAAGCGCAAGUCAACAGCUUGCGUUGAUUACGUCCCUGCCCUUUGUACACACCGCCCGUCGCUACUACUGAUUGGAUGUUUAAGCGAGGUUCUCGAACUGCUAGCGACUUAGCUUCGGUGAGGUCGCAGUGUGGGAAGUGAACCUAGCUUUGGUGUCUAGAGGAAGUAAAAGUCGUAACA